CGUGUCCGGAAUUACUGGGCGUAAAGAGUUCGUAGGCGGUUUGUCGCGUCGUUUGUGAAAACCCGGGGCUCAACUUCGGGCUUGCAGGCGAUACGGGCAGACUUGAGUGUUUCAGGGGAGACUGGAAUUCCUGGUGUAGCGGUGAAAUGCGCAGAUAUCAGGAGGAACACCGGUGGCGAAGGCGGGUCUCUGGGAAACAACUGACGCUGAGGAACGAAAGCGUGGGUAGCAAACAGGAUUAGAUACCCUGGUAGUCCACGCCGUAAACGGUGGGCGCUAGGUGUGGGUUCCUUCCACGGGAUCUGUGCCGUAGCUAACGCAUUAAGCGCCCCGCCUGGGGAGUACGGCCGCAAGGCUAAAACUCAAAGGAAUUGACGGGGGCCCGCACAAGCGGCGGAGCAUGUGGAUUAAUUCGAUGCAACGCGAAGAACCUUACCUGGGUUUGACAUACACCGGAAAACCGUAGAGAUACGGUCCCCCUUGUGGUCGGUGUACAGGUGGUGCAUGGCUGUCG
This 514-nucleotide ribosomal RNA is filed under the name uncultured bacterium. Its description in RNAcentral is "bacterial SSU rRNA". It matches the Rfam family "Bacterial small subunit ribosomal RNA", at positions 540 to 1054 of the family's 1533-position model. The record is from RNAcentral.